AUUGAACGCUGGCGACAUGCCUUACACAUGCCAGUCGAACGGCAGCACGGGUGCCUGCACCUGGUGGCGAGUGGCGAACGGGUGAGUAAUACAUCGGAACAUGUCCUGUAGUGGGGGAUAGCCCGGCGAAAGCCGGAUUAAUACCGCAUACGAUCUACGGAUGAAAGCGGGGGACCUUCGGGCCUCGCGCUAUAGGGUUGGCCGAUGGCUGAUUAGCUAGUUGGUGGGGUAAAGGCCUACCAAGGCGACGAUCAGUAGCUGGUCUGAGAGGACGACCAGUCACACUGGGACUGAGACACGGCCCAGACUCCUACGGGAGGCAGCAGUGGGGAAUUUUGGACAAUGGGCGAAAGCCUGAUCCAGCAAUGCCGCGUGUGUGAAGAAGGCCUUCGGGUUGUAAAGCACUUUUGUCCGGAAAGAAAUCCUUGGCCCUAAUACGGUCGGGGGAUGACGGUACCGGAAGAAUAAGCACCGGCUAACUACGUG
Molecule: ribosomal RNA, 486 nt
Filed under: uncultured bacterium
Lineage: Bacteria
Description: partial 16S ribosomal RNA
Rfam family: Bacterial small subunit ribosomal RNA
Source: RNAcentral